Molecule: ribosomal RNA, 287 nt
Filed under: uncultured Flavobacteriaceae bacterium
Lineage: Bacteria; Pseudomonadati; Bacteroidota; Flavobacteriia; Flavobacteriales; Flavobacteriaceae
Description: partial 23S ribosomal RNA
Rfam family: Bacterial large subunit ribosomal RNA
Source: RNAcentral
AAUAAGCUAUUUAAGAGCGUAAGGUGGAUGCCUUGGCUCUCAGAGGCGAUGAAGGACGUGAUAAGCUGCGAUAAGCUACGGGGAUUGGCACACACAAUUUGAUCCGUAGAUUUCCGAAUGGGGCAACCCACUAUAUUGAAGAUAUAGUAUCCGUUAAGGAAGCAAACCCAGGGAACUGAAACAUCUAAGUACCUGGAGGAAUAGAAAACAAAAGUGAUUCCGCUAGUAGUGGCGAGCGAACGCGGAACAGCCCAAACCAAAAUUGUUUCGGCAAUUUUGGGGUUGUA